GAUCCUGGCUCAGACUCAAGUCGUAGCAAGGUAGCCGAAGAGUUUGAUACGGGUGAGUAAUGUCUGGGAAACUGCCCGAUGGAAGAGGAUAACUACUGGAAACGGUAGCUAAUAGCGCAUAACGUCUCAAAACCAAAUAGGGGGACCUUGGGGCCUCUUGCCAUCGGAUGUGCCCAAAUGGGAUUAGCUUGAAUGUGAAGUAACGGCUCACCUAGGCUACCAUCCCUACCUGGUCUGACAGGAUGACCAGCCACACUGGAACUGAUACACGGUCCAGACUCCUACGGGAGGCAGCAGUGGGGAAUAUUGCACAAUGGGCGCAAGCCUGAUGCAGCCAUGCCGCGUGUAUGAAGAAGGCCUUCGGGUUGUAAAGUACUUUCAGCGGGGAGGAAGGGAGUGAGGUUAAUAACCUUAUUCAUUGACGUUACCCGCAGAAGAAGCACCGGCUAACUCCGUGCCCUCAGCCGCGGUAAUACGGAGGGUGCAAGCGUUAAUCGGAAUUACUGGGCGUAUUGCGCACGCAGGCGGUCUGUCAAGUCGGAUGUGAAAUCCCCGGGCUCAACCUGGGAACUGCAUUCGAAACUGGCAGGCUGGAGUCUUGUUGAGGGCGGGUAGAAUUCCAGGUGUAGCGGUGUAAAUGCGUGAGAUGCUGGAGAGAAUACCGAGUGAGCGACAGCGGCCCACCUGCGACUAAGACUGACUGCUACAUG
This 710-nucleotide ribosomal RNA is filed under the name Klebsiella oxytoca. RNAcentral's name for it is "bacterial SSU rRNA". It matches the Rfam family "Bacterial small subunit ribosomal RNA", at positions 64 to 751 of the family's 1533-position model. Lineage: Bacteria; Pseudomonadati; Pseudomonadota; Gammaproteobacteria; Enterobacterales; Enterobacteriaceae. The record is from RNAcentral.